CAGGAGAGUUGCUAUUUGGCAUCCACACUCUUGCAACAUCCGGUUCAUCUUGAAGAGAAAACACUCGCCCUUUACAUUUGCGAAUCCUCUCAAACUCCGCUGGUAAAUCGGGCUUAAGAUCUACUGUCAAUUGCACUGCAGUGAGAGAAUCAUCCUCGCCUCUCGUACCCAGCACAGCUCUAGAGUCUCCAACAUUACCAAUAACAAGAUGCUCACCCUGUUUAACUAGCGUUACUGCUGUUGUUCCACUACAGAAGCAGUCGAUAUUG
RNAcentral lists this unclassified non-coding RNA (269 nucleotides) under Hevea brasiliensis (rubber tree). The record is from RNAcentral. Lineage: Eukaryota; Viridiplantae; Streptophyta; Magnoliopsida; Malpighiales; Euphorbiaceae.